NNAGUGGCUGCAAACAGCACCCUCCCUGGUAGUGUAUAUAGUGUGCUGCAUAUAUGGGUUACCCUAAGGGACCCUAGAGACAGCG
RNAcentral lists this small nucleolar RNA (85 nucleotides) under Capra hircus (goat). RNAcentral describes it as "Small nucleolar RNA SNORA70 (ENSCHIG00010004063.1)". It matches the Rfam family "Small nucleolar RNA SNORA70", at positions 51 to 135 of the family's 135-position model. From Rfam's summary of the family: snoRNA U70 seems to be exclusive to mammals and is a member of the H/ACA class of snoRNA which contain H (ANANNA) and ACA box motifs. H/ACA box snoRNAs are involved in the conversion of uridines to pseudouridines (5-ribosyluracil) a constituent of structural RNAs (transfer, ribosomal, small nuclear, and small nucleolar). Lineage: Eukaryota; Metazoa; Chordata; Mammalia; Artiodactyla; Bovidae. The record is from RNAcentral.